Molecule: ribosomal RNA, 897 nt
Filed under: Sarocladium strictum
Lineage: Eukaryota; Fungi; Ascomycota; Sordariomycetes; Hypocreales; Sarocladiaceae
Description: LSU rRNA
Rfam family: Eukaryotic large subunit ribosomal RNA
Source: RNAcentral
GCAUAUCAAUAAGCGGAGGAAAAGAAACCAACAGGGAUUGCCUCAGUAACGGCGAGUGAAGCGGCAACAGCUCAAAUUUGAAAUCUGGCCUCACGGUCCGAGUUGUAAUUUGUAGAGGAUGCUUUUGGCGAGGUGCUUUCCGAGUUCCCUGGAACGGGACGCCAUAGAGGGUGAGAGCCCCGUACGGUAAGACCACCGAGCCUCUGUAAAGCUCCUUCGACGAGUCGAGUAGUUUGGGAAUGCUGCUCUAAAUGGGAGGUGUACGUCUUCUAAAGCUAAAUACCGGCCAGAGACCGAUAGCGCACAAGUAGAGUGAUCGAAAGAUGAAAAGCACUUUGAAAAGAGGGUUAAAAAGUACGUGAAAUUGUUGAAAGGGAAGCAUUCAUGACCAGACUUGGGCUUGGUUGAACAUCCGGCGUUCUCGCCGGUGCACUCUGCCAGUCCAGGCCAGCAUCAGUUUGCCCCGGGGGACAAAGGCGGUGGGAAUGUGGCUCCCUUCGGGGAGUGUUAUAGCCCGCCGUGUAAUGCCCUGGGGCGGACUGAGGAACGCGCUUCGGCACGGAUGCUGGCGUAAUGGUCAUCAAUGACCCGUCUUGAAACACGGACCAAGGAGUCGUCUUCGUAUGCGAGUGUUCGGGUGUCAAACCCCUACGCGUAAUGAAAGUGAACGUAGGUGAGAGCUUCGGCGCAUCACCGACCGAUCCUGAUGUUCUCGGAUGGAUUUGAGUAAGAGCAUACGGGGCCGGACCCGAAAGAAGGUGAACUAUGCCUGUAUAGGGUGAAGCCAGAGGAAACUCUGGUGGAGGCUCGCAGCGGUUCUGACGUGCAAAUCGAUCGUCAAAUAUGGGCAUGGGGGCGAAAGACUAAUCGAACCUUCUAGUAGCUGGUUUCCGCCGA